GACGAACGCUGGCGGCGCGCUUAACACAUGCAAGUCGAGCGAGAACCAGGGCUUCGGCCCUGGGGAAAGCGGCGAACGGGUGAGUAACACGUGGGUAAUCAACCGUCGGUUCUGGGAUAGCCCGGGGAAACCCGGAUUAAUACCGGAUAGCCUCUUUGGUCUUCGGACCGUCGAGAAAAGGUAGCUUCGGCCUCCGACCGAUGACGAGCCCGCGGCGGAUUAGCUUGUUGGCGGGGUAACGGCCCACCAAGGCGACGAUCCGUAGCUGGUCUGAGAG
This 277-nucleotide ribosomal RNA is filed under the name uncultured bacterium. Its description in RNAcentral is "partial 16S ribosomal RNA". It matches the Rfam family "Bacterial small subunit ribosomal RNA", at positions 28 to 298 of the family's 1533-position model. The record is from RNAcentral.